UCUCUCUAAUGGAGGCAAAAACAACGACAACAAAAAUAUGGGCUACAAGGUUCCUCCACACUUGUGCCUUGGCCCAACAGCAGUAAUUACACAGAUUAGAAAUAGUGCUUAAAAAAUCCUCUUUCCCAUGUGCCCCACCUCACUUCCUAGGGCCCCUCAUGGCUCCUGUUCACCUUCCUGACAGAUAAAUGCCUGUGAUCCACUCAUUCGUGCCUCACUGUGGCUCCUUGGUACUCAACCAAUUCAGCUUCCAUAUCACCCCUGGAAUAUUCCCCUGUCUCCCUUCCUCAGGGGCGGGUGCAGCAUUUUGGAGAUUUCCAAGGGAGAAGAGCAAGAUAAAAAUUGGUAAUCUGGGGGAGCAGUUUUAACAAUAAUAGCUGCAUGAAAAUAAUAUUAAUAUCAUUUGCUUAUUAAGGACAAGCCAUGGGCCUCAGUGUUUUCAGCACUUCACCUACACUAACACGUUUAGGUAAUGUUAUCCUUCUCGUUUUAGAAAUGAUGCAACUGAGUCACAGAGAAGUUAAGUAAUCUGCCUGCCGACACUCGGGUCGAUGCCGCCUCAUUCCAUCACUCGGGCAAUGGAGCCAAAGGCCACGUUCACAACCACUAGGCUGUCCCAGCCCCUUGGUGUGAUUUGUCCCUUCCUAAGCUUCAAAGAUAGCCAGGCAGGAGUUAUUUUAUAGAAUGGAAGUAAUUUCUACGGGGCCAAGCAAUAAUAAGGAAAUUGGAAGUCAAGGACUAUCUUCCGAAUGGAGAAGAAGCUCCAUCAACCACAGAAGGAAAUUAUGAUCACUCCUGCCAUCCUGCUCCUUUGUGUAUCCAGGAUGAAGGGGAGAAUUGGAGUCUUGCACAAUGAAAGGACAACAUUGCUGCCAAAACAAUCCAUCGUGACUGUAGACAUAUUUUCCACCCUCAUCCUGCAGGUUUUCUGCCAGUUGUUGGCCCCUCAUCAAUUUUGCUCCUGGGCAGUCUGAGGUGGAACAUAAUUUUGUAUAAAACAAAUUAUGCUCAACCUCACUUAUAAUCAGGGAAAUGUGAGUCAAAACCACAAUAAAAUAUCACCUCAUGCUGUUUAGGAUUGCUGUUAUCAAGUAGACAAGAAAGAAGUGUUGGUGAGGGUAAGGAGAAAAUAAAAUCUUUGCACACUGUUGGUGGGAAUGUAAGUUGGUAAAGCCACUAUCAAAGGCAAUAUGAAGGAUUCUCAAAAAAUUAAAAAUAAAAUUGCCAAAUGAUCCAUCAAUCCUUCUUCUGGACACAUAAUCAAAGGAAAUGAAAUCAGUAUCUCAAAUAGAUAUUUGCACCCCAUAUCCAUUGCAUCCUUUUUUGUAAUAGCCAAGAUAUGGGAGCAAUCGAAGUGUCCAUCAGCAAAUGAAUGGAUAAAGAAAUCAUGGUACAUAUAUACAGUGGAAUAUUAUUCAGACAUAAAAAGGAAGGAAAUCCUGUCAUUUCUGAAGACAUUAAUGAACCCAGAGGACAUCAUACUAAGUGAAAUAAGCUAGAUAUAGGAAGACAAAAACCACAUGAUCUCACUUACAUGUGGAAUCUAAAAAAGUCAAACUCAUAGAAGCAGAGAGUAGAAUAGUGGUUGUCAAGGGCUUGGGAUAAUUGAGGAGAUGUUGGUUAAAGGGUACAAACUUUAAGUUAUAAGAUGAACAAGUUCUGGCGCUCUACUAUAUAGUAUGGGUGAUGACGGAUGUGUUAAUUAAUUUGAUUGUGACAUUCAUUACACGAUGUAUAUGUAUAACAAAUCAUCACAUUGUACACCUUGGAUAUAUUCCAUCUUUAUUUAUCAAUUAAAUAUUUCAAAAUGUUUUUAAAAAGGAAGGCAAAAUGGGCCAAAAGGAGUAACUACUUUGUGUAGAGCUGAUGUCCAGGCUGGAAUUUCUAAACUUUUUCUGUAACCUAGAGUCUCUUUUAUAUUUUUGACUUACCCAUUAUUCAUAACAGAUCUCAGGAACCCUCAUCACACUGCCUGUUGCUAAAAACUCAAAGGAGUUAUUGAUAUAUGAACAACCCAAGUUAAUGCAGUCAUUAAUGGAAAUACAGAGUCUUGACUGAAAGAGAUCAUUUCUAUUUUUUGUUGCGAUAGUCAGAUCAUAGCCAGUCACAUCUUUUAGGGAGGAUGCAAAUAGGCUGGAGUUCCUUCAGCAAACAGGAUGCUGUAGAAUAAAAUAUUCUACAUGAGAAUACUUAAACAAAUUGGAGUGCCUGGUGCCACCAUGUAAAUUGUGAGGUGUCAGACAGGCUGGUCUUUGGAUUAGAGAUUGGACUUACUCUCUGUGGCCCUAUGAGUAGAGCAGGUCCGGGUGGGGCUGGGCAGGGAGGAAGAUCAUCUUAAAGUGAUAGAUGUAGGCUCAGUGUGAGGAAGGAUUUCUAAGAGUUGGAGCUGCUCAGAGGUGAAAUAUCAAGAGAGUGCCCUUCAGGAGCAGUGUCUGAAGACAGACCACAUGGCCAAUAGGGAGAGAUAAGCGGGCUGGGUGGCCUUCAGCGCUUUGCUUCCAGUCUUGGGAGUCUUACUGAAAUAGCUAAUGACCACUCAACCCAAAGAACAGACACAUGUCUGCCAUGUCUCUCCGGGCUCAUCCUGCUUAUUGCAAGUGAGGCCCAAAGGUGGGGCUGUUAUUCCCUGAUGUUUCAGGUCCACGUGCAACUUAUUCCCAGAUCUUUUCUGAAAAAAAAAAAGCAGAGAGACUGUUUGCCAGACAGCUGGACAAGAAUGAGGUAAAAGAAGAUAAGGCCCAACCGAGAAGUCAGAAAAGCUUCACUUUUCAUUAGCUCCACAUUCCAAAGUAAGAAAUCAAUGUGCUUAGCUGCAAUUCAAAGCAAUUAGUCUUUGUUCUCAGACACUCUCAAAGAAUGACUUAAAGAAGCCCAAAUAAAUAUUUUCAGAAAAGACAGUAAAUUUGUGUUACUUAACCCAAGGAAUGCAAACAAGUGCAAUUAAAGUGAAUACCCAUAAAUAAAGUAAAUACAUUAGUUAGGAAAUGAAUUAAUUAGUGUUUAAUUACUAUCAAUUACUAAAAUCACUACAGAAUUACUUGUAGAAUGGACUGAAUCUCUUGCUCCUAUUAAUAAUUUCCAUUGCUAAUUGUAUGCACUUGUAUUUUCUUUGGGUGCAUCUUAGCAGAGCUAAUAGGAGGAAGCAACAGCACAGUGAACAAUGACAGGGACAUUUUUUUUCUUUGUUCAGUGAAAAACAAAAGUGAUUUGAAAUAUAUCUGCCUG
This 3225-nucleotide long non-coding RNA is filed under the name Pan paniscus (pygmy chimpanzee). Its description in RNAcentral is "lncRNA (ENSPPAG00000044446.1)". The record is from RNAcentral. Lineage: Eukaryota; Metazoa; Chordata; Mammalia; Primates; Hominidae.